AGUGAACGCUGGCGGUAGGCCUAACACAUGCAAGUCGAACGGCAGCACAGUAAGAGCUUGCUCUUACGGGUGGCGAGUGGCGGACGGGUGAGGAAUACAUCGGAAUCUACUUUUUCGUGGGGGAUAACGUAGGGAAACUUACGCUAAUACCGCAUACGACCUACGGGUGAAAGCAGGGGAUCUUCGGACCUUGCGCGAUUGAAUGAGCCGAUGUCGGAUUAGCUAGUUGGCGGGGUAAAGGCCCACCAAGGCGACGAUCCGUAGCUGGUCUGAGAGGAUGAUCAGCCACACUGGAACUUAGACACGGUCCAGACUCCUAUGGGAGGCAGCAGUGGGGAAUAUUGGACAAUGGGCGCAAGCCUGAUCCAGCCAUACCGCGUGGGUGAAGAAGGCCUUCGGGUUGUAAAGCCCUUUUGUUGGGAAAGAAAAGCAGCAGGUUAAUACCCCGCUGUUCUGACGGUACCCAAAGAAUAAGCACCGGCUAACUUCGUG
RNAcentral lists this ribosomal RNA (492 nucleotides) under uncultured bacterium. Its description in RNAcentral is "partial 16S ribosomal RNA". It matches the Rfam family "Bacterial small subunit ribosomal RNA", at positions 29 to 507 of the family's 1533-position model. The record is from RNAcentral.